Molecule: long non-coding RNA, 127 nt
Organism: Priapulus caudatus
Lineage: Eukaryota; Metazoa; Priapulida; Priapulimorpha; Priapulimorphida; Priapulidae
Exons: 3
Source: RefSeq, a predicted model, not a curated record
CGAGUUAUAGAGCGGAAGGGAAAUAUGAUCAAGGUCAAGGUAAAGGUAAAGGUCAAAUAAAGGUCGUAGUGACCUGGUUUUGGUACGCGACAGCACCUUUCUCCCAAGAUGGUUAUAGUAUACCAAG